CAGCCGCCACGGGAAUACGGAGGGUGCAAGCGUUAAUCGGAAUUACUGGGCGUAAAGCGCACGCAGGCGGUCUGUCAAGUCAGAUGUGAAAUCCCCGGGCUUAACCUGGGAACUGCAUUUGAAACUGGCAGGCUAGAGUCUUGUAGAGGGGGGUAGAAUUCCAGGUGUAGCGGUGAAAUGCGUAGAGAUCUGGAGGAAUACCGGUGGCGAAGGCGGCCCCCUGGACAAAGACUGACGCUCAGGUGCGAAAGCGUGGGGAGCAAACAGGAUUAGAGACCCCGGUAGUCCCUGUCUCUUAUAC
Molecule: ribosomal RNA, 301 nt
Filed under: uncultured bacterium
Lineage: Bacteria
Description: partial 16S ribosomal RNA
Rfam family: Bacterial small subunit ribosomal RNA
Source: RNAcentral